RNAcentral lists this ribosomal RNA (583 nucleotides) under uncultured Sphingomonadales bacterium. RNAcentral describes it as "bacterial SSU rRNA". It matches the Rfam family "Bacterial small subunit ribosomal RNA", at positions 8 to 637 of the family's 1533-position model. The record is from RNAcentral. Lineage: Bacteria; Pseudomonadati; Pseudomonadota; Alphaproteobacteria; Sphingomonadales.
AGGGUUUGAUCCUGGCUCAGAACGAACGCUGGCGGCAUGCCUAACACAUGCAAGUCGAACGAACCCUUCGGGGUUAGUGGCGCACGGGUGCGUAACGCGUGGGAACCUGCCUUUUGGUUCGGAAUAACAGUGAGAAAUUGCUGCUAAUACCGGAUAAUGUCUUCGGACCAAAGAUUUAUCGCCAUUAGAUGGGCCCGCGUAGGAUUAGCUAGUUGGUGGGGUAAAGGCCUACCAAGGCGACGAUCCUUAGCUGGUCUUAGAGGAUGAUCAGCCUCACUGGGACUGAGACACGGCCCAGACUCCUACGGGAGGCAGCAGUGGGGAAUAUUGGACAAUGGGCGAAAGCCUGAUCCAGCAAUGCCGCGUGAGUGAUGAAGGCCUUAGGGUUGUAAAGCUCUUUUACCCGGGAUGAUAAUGACAGUACCGGGAGAAUAAGCCCCGGCUAACUCCGUGCCAGCAGCCGCGGUAAUACGGAGGGGGCUAGCGUUGUUCGGAAAUACUGGGCGUAAAGCGUGCGUAGGCGGCUUGGCAAGUCAGGGGUGAAAUCCCAGAGCUCAACUCUGGAACUGCCCUUGAAACUGCC